This 497-nucleotide ribosomal RNA is filed under the name uncultured bacterium. Its description in RNAcentral is "partial 16S ribosomal RNA". It matches the Rfam family "Bacterial small subunit ribosomal RNA", at positions 28 to 507 of the family's 1533-position model. The record is from RNAcentral.
GAUGAACGCUGGCGGCGUGCCUAAUACAUGCAAGUCGAGCGAACAGACGAGGAGCUUGCUCCUCUGACGUUAGCGGCGGACGGGUGAGUAACACGUGGAUAACCUACCUAUAAGACUGGGAUAACUUCGGGAAACCGGAGCUAAUACCGGAUAACAUGUUGAACCGCAUGGUUCAACAGUGAAAGACGGUCUUGCUGUCACUUAUAGAUGGAUCCGCGCCGCAUUAGCUAGUUGGUAAGGUAGCGGCUUACCAAGGCAACGAUGCGUAGCCGACCUGAGAGGGUGAUCGGCCACACUGGAACUGAGACACGGUCCAGACUCCUACGGGAGGCAGCAGUAGGGAAUCUUCCGCAAUGGGCGAAAGCCUGACGGAGCAACGCCGCGUGAGUGAAGAAGGUCUUCGGAUCGUAAAACUCUGUUAUUAGGGAAGAACAAAUGUGUAAGUAACUAUGCACGUCUUGACGGUACCUAAUCAGAAAGCCACGGCUAACUACGUG